RNAcentral lists this ribosomal RNA (394 nucleotides) under uncultured bacterium. Its description in RNAcentral is "bacterial SSU rRNA". It matches the Rfam family "Bacterial small subunit ribosomal RNA", at positions 29 to 423 of the family's 1533-position model. The record is from RNAcentral.
AUUGAACGCUGGCGGCGUGCCUAACACAUGCAAGUCGAGCGGUAACAGGUGUAGCAAUACAUGCUGACGAGCGGCGAACGGGUGAGUAAUGCUUCGGAAUCUACCCAAUGGUGGGGAAUAACCAGCCGAAAGGUUGGCUAAUACCGCAUACGUCCCACGGGAGAAAGCAGGGGAUCGCAAGACCUUGCGCCAAUGGAUGAGCCGAAGUCGGAUUAGCUAGUUGGAGGGUAACGGCCUACCAAGGCGACGAUCCGUAGCUGGUCUGAGAGGACGACCAGCCACACUGGGACUGAGACACGGCCCAGACUCCUACGGGAGGCAGCAGUGGGGAAUAUUGGACAAUGGGGGAAACCCUGAUCCAGCGACGCCGCGUGUGUGAAGAAGGCCUGCGGGG